RNAcentral lists this signal recognition particle RNA (249 nucleotides) under Peptoniphilus obesi. Its description in RNAcentral is "Bacterial large signal recognition particle RNA". It matches the Rfam family "Bacterial large signal recognition particle RNA". Rfam says of the family: The signal recognition particle (SRP) is a universally conserved ribonucleoprotein involved in the co-translational targeting of proteins to membranes. Lineage: Bacteria; Bacillati; Bacillota; Tissierellia; Tissierellales; Peptoniphilaceae. The record is from RNAcentral.
AUGAUAGACGGGGAAUUAGCGAUGCCUUGUAACCUGCGAUUCGCUAUAGCAGGGUCGAAUUCCCAUAUGAGGGUUGUUGUUUGUAUAGACUGCCCCAAAAAAGUGAUGUUGAUAAUAGGGUCCUGCGCAAGAUAGCCCUGCGAACCGUGUCAGGUCUUGACGGAAGCAGCACUAAGUAGGUGACUAGCUGUGCCGCGGGAGUGCCUUAUUUGAGUUAACUAUUUGGGUACCGUAUAUGAACGUAAUUCG